Pogoniulus pusillus (Red-fronted tinkerbird) is the source of this 699-nucleotide long non-coding RNA. RefSeq lists it as uncharacterized. The transcript is spliced from 4 exons. Lineage: Eukaryota; Metazoa; Chordata; Aves; Piciformes; Lybiidae. The record is from RefSeq and is a predicted model, not a curated record.
GCUGCCCGCCUCAGAGCGCUGCCCGCCUCAGAGCGCUGCCCGCCUCAGAGCGCUGCCCGCCUGGGCAGUGCCUGCAGAAGGAGUCCCCUGGCGCUGCGGAGGACAAGCUCCUGAGGGCCCGGCCCGGCCGGCGCCACCGUAAGCACGGCCUUUAUGCAGCUUGAUUGGCCUUAAGGAGCUUCGGACCUCUUUGGAAAGAGAGCAGCGGAGGAGCCUCUGGAGCCUUUAUGCAGCUUGAUUGGCCUUAAGGAGCUUCGGACCUCUUUGGAAAGAGAGCAGCGGAGGAGCCUCUGGAGCGCCAGCUGCAUCACCUUUGACUGCCAGUAAACUCUCAGCAGUGCGCCUGACAGAACAUCACCUUCAGGUUCCUCCUGACGCUCAGCUAUAUUCAGGUCAGAAAUCCUGUCUACCAUUGUUAAAAAGCAAGUGAAAGCCAACCCUGCAGAGAGUUCAUCUCAGAAGAAACACUGGUUCUUGUAUGCAAGUAAACCAAGACUGCCUGCUCAUGAACCCCAGCAGUUGUAAAGGGCUGAUGUCAACUACUUCAUUCUGUUCUAACGUCUUCAUGCUGAAGGAAAAAGUGAUCUCUAAGACUGACAGGCAAAACAGAGAUGUAUUUCCCCCUAGUUCAACAUUUUGCACAUAGAAUAUAGACUGUACCUGUUACAAAGUGCUAAGAGAAAUUAAUGAGAUGCAGAG